RNAcentral lists this ribosomal RNA (389 nucleotides) under uncultured bacterium. Its description in RNAcentral is "bacterial SSU rRNA". It matches the Rfam family "Bacterial small subunit ribosomal RNA", at positions 29 to 421 of the family's 1533-position model. The record is from RNAcentral.
AAUGAACGCUGGCGGCGUGCUUUACACAUGCAAGUUGAGCGAGGCCACCCGCAAGGGUGAGUCGAGCGGCGAACGGGUGAGUAACGCGUGGAUAACCUGCCCUGAGGUGGGGAAUAACCCGGGGAAACUCGGGCUAAUACCGCAUGAUACUUAGCGGUCAAAGGGGGCGUCGCAAGAGCUCUUGCCACAGGAGGGGUCCGCGUUCGAUUAGCUAGUUGGUAGGGUAAUGGCCUACCAAGGCGACGAUCGAUAGCCGGCCCUGAGAGGGUGAUCGGCCACACUGGAACUGAGACACGGUCCAGACUCCUACGGGAGGCAGCAGUGGGGAAUUUUGCGCAAUGGGCUAACGCCUGACGCAGCAACGCCGCGUGGAGGAUGAAGGUCUUUGG